UGGGGAAUAUUGCACAAUGGGGGAAACCCUGAUGCAGCGACGCCGCGUGAACGAAGAAGGUAUUCGUAUCGUAAAGUUCUGUCCUAUGGGAAGAUAAUGACAGUACCAUAGAAGAAAGCUCCGGCUAAAUACGUGCCAGCAGCCGCGGUAAUACGUAUGGAGCGAGCGUUGUCCGGAAUUAUUGGGCGGAAAGGGUACGCAGGCGGUUUAAUAAGUCGAAUGUUAAAGAACGGGGCUCACCCCCGCAAAGCAUUGGAAACUGAUAAACUUGAGUAGUGGAGAGGAAAGUGGAAUUCCUAGUGUAGUGGUGAAAUACGUAGAUAUUAGGAGGAAUACCAGUAGCGAAGGCGACUUUCUGGACACAAACUGACGCUGAGGUACGAAAGCGUGGGGAGCAAACAGG
Molecule: ribosomal RNA, 403 nt
Filed under: bacterium
Lineage: Bacteria
Description: partial 16S ribosomal RNA
Rfam family: Bacterial small subunit ribosomal RNA
Source: RNAcentral